CCUACGGGUGGCAGCAGUGAGGAAUAUUGGUCAAUGGACGAGAGUCUGAACCAGCCAAGUAGCGUGAAUGAUGACUGCCCUCUGGGUUGUAAACUCUUUUUAUAAAGGAAUAAAACGAGGCACGUGUGCCUUUUUGCAUGUACUUUAUGAAUAAGGAUCGGCCAACUCCGUGCCAGCAGCCGCGGUAAUACGGAGGAUCCGGGCGUUAUCCGGAUUUAUUGGGUUUAAAGGGAGAGUAGAUGGGUUGUUAAGUCAGUUGUGAAAGUUUGUGGCUCAACCGUAAAAUUGCAAUUGCUACUGGCAGGCUUGAGUACAGUUGAGGUAGGCGGAAUUCGUGGUGUAGCGGUGAAAUGCUUAGAUAUCACGAAGAACCCCGAUUGCGAAGGCAGCUUACUAAACUGUGACUGACAUUGAUGCUCGAAAGUGUGGGUAGCAAACAGGAUUAGAUACCCCAGUAGUC
This 460-nucleotide ribosomal RNA is filed under the name uncultured bacterium. RNAcentral describes it as "partial 16S ribosomal RNA". It matches the Rfam family "Bacterial small subunit ribosomal RNA", at positions 338 to 795 of the family's 1533-position model. The record is from RNAcentral.